This 200-nucleotide long non-coding RNA is filed under the name Gossypium raimondii (Peruvian cotton). RNAcentral's name for it is "long non-coding RNA (GRAI_LNC004051)". Lineage: Eukaryota; Viridiplantae; Streptophyta; Magnoliopsida; Malvales; Malvaceae. The record is from RNAcentral.
GAAAUACAAAUUGAAGAGGGCAUGAGAGUGGGCUUAUCAGAGCAAGUACGACAGAUUUCAGAUAAUGAGUGGAACCCAAGUUCAAAACAAAAAUAAAAAAACAAUACAGAAGCAGAGGGAUCAGAGGAUCGGGUAACAAGUUUUGAAGUCGAAGAAGAACUUUUCAAAUAAUACAAAAUAGAAGAAAAAAGAAAGCGUUC